UAUUUUUGUUAUUGUUUUUGUUUUAUUACAAUUUAUCACAACAUUAAAUUAUAUCAGAACGAUAAUUCGAAACAACGAAAUAAUUCGAUUAUAAGUAUCAGACAUAUAGAUCUGAAAAUUGAGAGAAAAAUAAUGAAGAAAGGAAGAGAUAAAAAUGAAAGAAACAAAAAAGAGGAACAAAAGGAAAAAGAAACAAAUGGAAUUAAUGAAAUUCUACAUAUGAACGAAAUGGAAUAAUAGAUAAAUAACAACGUCGUAUCAGAACGAUAUUGCUUUGAAUUGAUAAGAAAUAAGAAGAGGUUAGAAAAAUCGUACACGAUCGAGGAAGAUAUUAAGACAAGUUUUAAGCGUAGUUAUUUCUAUCAGGAAUGCAAAAGUGAAUAUCACAGACAGUAAGCGCCAUUUUGGUAACUAGUCUUGCGGCUCUUUUAUUCUACAUUAUCUCGGUAGUUGUAUGUUGUACAUACAACGCCGCGUGUGGUAUUAGCAAUGGAACGGUAGCAGCUGAGAAAGCGGUCGGUAGAUGGUUAGACGUAGAGGAGGAGUAAGAGGAGGGAAGCAAGCAAGCAAGCAAGCAAGCAAGCAAGUAAGCAAGCAAGUCAGCCAGCAAGCAAGCAAGCAAGGAAGAAAGCACGCUAGCAAGCAAGCUAGCAAGCGAACGAGUGAGUGAGUGAGCAAACGAGCGAGCGAGCGAGCAAGCAAGCAAGCAAGCAAGCAAGCAAGCAAGCAACGACGUUCCACCGACAGUACCGCGCUUGAAAGAUGGCGGAGGGUAAUUCGAAAGCGCGCGUUAUAUAGUCGCUCGUUGAACGCGCAUGCGCAAUGACAGUAACUCGCGUGGCCGCGAUGGUGUCGAUGGGCGUGGCCAAUUCGCCAACGAACUUGCACCGGCUGGCACUGUGUUGCUCCCUGCAAAAAACCACACGGAAUACGAC
This is a long non-coding RNA of Vespa crabro (European hornet), 935 nucleotides long. RefSeq lists it as uncharacterized. Lineage: Eukaryota; Metazoa; Arthropoda; Insecta; Hymenoptera; Vespidae. The transcript is spliced from 3 exons. The record is from RefSeq and is a predicted model, not a curated record.